RNAcentral lists this ribosomal RNA (346 nucleotides) under uncultured bacterium. RNAcentral describes it as "partial 16S ribosomal RNA". It matches the Rfam family "Bacterial small subunit ribosomal RNA", at positions 338 to 676 of the family's 1533-position model. The record is from RNAcentral.
CCUACGGGGUGCAGCAGUGGGGAAUAUUGCGCAAUGGGCGAAAGCCUGACGCAGCGACGCCGCGUGAGGGAUGAAGGUCUUCGGAUCGGAAACCUCUGUCAGCAGGGAAGAACGGUCACUGGGCUAAGCAGCAGUGAAUGGACGGUACCUGCAAAGGAAGCACCGGCGAACUCCGUGCCAGCAGCCGCGGUAAUACGGAGGGUGCGAGCGUUAAUCGGAAUUACUGGGCGGAAAGCGCUCGUAGGCGGUAUGUCAAGGCAAGGGUGAAAUCCCCGCGCUCAACGUGGGAACUGCCUUUGAAACUGGCAAACUGGAGUGUGUGAGAGGAUAGUCGAAUUCCAGGUGU